AUACAUUUCCCAAGAAGCUACUCUUCCUGGUCUGACUAAGGGCUUCUGUGGAGAAAAUAUGCAAUGUUUCCAUAAGGCUGUUUAAAAAAAAAAGAAGAAGAAGAAGGAAUCACUUUUCUCUUGAGGCAAAACACCUUGAACCUCUUGGGGGGACUUAGAAGAAUCAAACCAUUACAUUCUAUCUUGGAAAAUAUGUCAAAGAAAUGCCUGCGUGCUUGCCUUAGUUCAUUAGAGACUCUUUCCCCCUUCUUCAGAUCAUAAUAAAAAUGAAUGAGAAUAUAGGGGUUCAAAGGCAGAGAAGGACUCUAACCCUAACAGAUCAGAAGUCUAUGCCUACUUUGGAGAUCUGACGUUGGAAUACAAGAACCUAAGCUUGAGACUCUCCAAUCAAAAAUUCUCGCAAUCACUUAGAGUUCAUGUCAAAACAUCUGGUGGCAAGUGUGCUUCAGUGUAUGAUAACCGGGGAAAAUACUGAGAAAUUGCAGCAACAUUUUUGUGUGUGUAAAUGGAGCUUUAGUUCCUGUACUUCAGCCAGAAAACACUAGAGGGAGUCAAAUAGAGGAAAAGACCAUCUCCGAAUGCCCAGGACCGAAGAAGAGCCUGCAGAGGAAGGCCUUUCUGCAUUUCCCCAAGGCACCCGGUUUUACCUAGGUAGACACUAAUCUUUAUACUGUGACCAAGUGACUCUCUCUACUUGAAACCCAGUGCUAAAAAACUGUAACUAUGAGCUGCUGAUUCUGUUCUGAAUCCAAAACAGUAAAAAGAAAACCAUUACUCUCUGACCAGGAUCUGGAUUCUGUCCAUUUGAGGCAUGGGGAGAGCCAAUAUGCCAGAACUCGUUGGGCACAGCUGAGAAGAGACGUCCGUACAGCUUUUGGGAAGAAGGAUGAAGUGUUUGGACCACACUCUUCUGAGGUCGAGGCCAAGAGUGCAGGGCUUUGGGUCCGCCUUCAAGGAGGUCAUAUGACAGAUGACUGGUGCUGUUCACUGGGCCUCCGUGGUGUUCCAGUGCCAUCUCAGCCCUGGAGAUGCUUUAUCUUUUCAUUCUCACCACCGCAGUGUGGCCUGGGUUGGUGGCCUUGCUUUAGAGAUUCGUUGACUUGCCCAAGGUCACAUGCUGGUAAGUGACAGUCAGAUUUAAACCUCAGUCUGACUCCAAAGCAGUUUCCCUCAUGCCCCAGCGCCUCUUGAGCGUCUGAAGAACAGUGCUGGAGGCAGUGUGGCAGCUCACAAGCCAUGUGGUACUUGAGUGCUCUGGAAGCAAGGGCAACAGAGAGCCAGGGCACCUGGGUCUGAGUCCUCGCUCUAUUGUUGACUGGAUACUUGAUCUCAGAAAAAUUCCUAAGGUCUCUGAGCUGACUCCUUGUCUAUAAAGAACAUGUCCUGUGUAUGGUGGCUUCUUAGAAGAUUUUUAAACCACCUUUCAUUUCUAACCUCUAUGAUACCCUGGAACCUUCAAGGAUCCUUACAUUCUUUUGUUCACUAAGUAAACUCCUACGUGAGGAAACACUUCGAUUUGGAAUUCAAGAACUGACUUAAUUUCUGCCAUAGAGAUAUUAUUCCUUCUCUGCAAAAUUCAUUUCCUCUGUGGGUUGCCCCAGCACUAUCUUCUGUUUCCUGAGGGGACCGACUCCACUGUGUGCUAAGUGUGGUGCUCUGCUCACCGUGAGCCAUAAGACAGGCCUGUAGGACAUGCUAGAAAUACAAGAUGGUAUUUCGUAACAUUGUCACUAAGAAUACUGCUAAAGUUGGCAAUAAAUAUUAUUUCCAGGGAGUUAAAGAACCAAAUAUCCACGUAGUUGCCUACUUUGGCUGCUUUGUUCUAUUUCUGUAAAUAAAUGAGGGUUUUAUUGAUUGUA
Molecule: long non-coding RNA, 1859 nt
Organism: Canis lupus familiaris (dog)
Lineage: Eukaryota; Metazoa; Chordata; Mammalia; Carnivora; Canidae
Exons: 2
Source: RefSeq, a predicted model, not a curated record